Molecule: ribosomal RNA, 750 nt
Filed under: Triticum aestivum (bread wheat)
Lineage: Eukaryota; Viridiplantae; Streptophyta; Magnoliopsida; Poales; Poaceae
Description: partial small subunit ribosomal RNA
Source: RNAcentral
AUGACGGUGCUAAGCUGGAACUGUCGGGGCCUCAGGCAGCCCCGGACAGUUCAGGAGCUAGUAUGCCUAGUGCAUACCCAUAAGCCCAAGAUCGUCUUCAUCACUGAAACUAGACAGUGCGAGAAUAAAGUUAGAGGCAUAAAAUGGAGAUUGGGAUUAAAGCAUUGCCUCACCCAUGAUGGUAAAGGCAAAGGGGCUGGAAUAGCACUGUAUUGGGAUGAUUCAAUAAAAAUAAAAGUUCUUUCGUAUGGGCCGAGGUAUUUUGAUGUGAUUGUCUCUGAACCCAACUGUCCUAAGUGGCGAGGGACCUUUGUAUAUGGUGAGUCAAGGGCACAAGAUAGACACCUUAUGUGGAAUCUGCUAAAAAACAUUGCUCCGCAAUCGAGUGAGCCAUGGCUAAUGGUAGGCGAUUUUAAUGAGACCAUGUGGCAACAUGAACAUCUUUCCUAUGCACAAAGAUCUGAGAGAAGAAUGGAAAAUUUCAGAGAGGUCUUAAUGUACUGUGAGCUACAUGAUCUGGGAUACAAAGGUCCCAUCUGGACAUAUGACAACAAGCAACACGGAGACAAAAACAUUCGAGCAAGGUUAGACAGAGCUGUUGCUUCCCAAGCUUGGUGUGAGCUGUUUGAAGAACACACCGGAACCCACAUCUGCUCUACAAGGUCAGAUCAUUUCCCGGUUCUGGUUGAAAUAGGUAUGAAUACUUGGCGCAAAAAACAAAAUCGCACUUUCCACUAUGAACAGAUGUAG